UAACACGUGGACAACUACCUCCGGACGGGUAUAAACCGGGAAACUGGGUAUAAUCCCCGAUAGAUCUCGGUCGCUGGAAUGCCCCGAAAUCGAAAGCUCCGGCGCCAGAGGAUGGGUCUGCGGCCUAUCAGGUAGUAGUGGGUCUAGCGUACCUACUAGCCUACGACGGGUACGGGUUGUGAGAGCAAGAGCCCGGAGAUGGAUUCUGAGACACGAAUCCAGGCCCUACGGGGUGCAGCAGGCGCGAAAACUUUACAAUGCCGGCAACGGCGAUAAGGGGACCUCGAGUGCCAGGUUACAAAUCUGGCUGUCGUGAUGCCUAAAAAGCAUUGCAUAGCAAGGGCCGGGCAAGACCGGUGCCAGCCGCCGCGGUAACACCGGCGGCUCGAGUGGUAACCGUUAUUAUUGGGUCUAAAGGGUCUGUAGCCGGCCGGAUAAGUCUCUUGAGAAAUCCAGCAGCUCAACUGUUGGGCUUUCAGGAGAUACUGUUCGGCUCGAGGCCGGGAGAG
RNAcentral lists this ribosomal RNA (509 nucleotides) under uncultured Methanosaeta sp. RNAcentral's name for it is "bacterial SSU rRNA". It matches the Rfam family "Archaeal small subunit ribosomal RNA", at positions 94 to 607 of the family's 1478-position model. Lineage: Archaea; Methanobacteriati; Methanobacteriota; Methanomicrobia; Methanotrichales; Methanotrichaceae. The record is from RNAcentral.